AAGGUGGACGAGGAAGAUGUCGUCUCCCACAUCCUCGCUGGGCUCGACGAGGAAUUUGACCCCGUGGUUUCUGCCAUGUGCUCACGGGUCGAACCUGUUGGGGUGCCGGAGCUGUACUCGCAGCUCCUGAGCUUCGGGG
Molecule: small nucleolar RNA, 139 nt
Filed under: Triticum aestivum (bread wheat)
Lineage: Eukaryota; Viridiplantae; Streptophyta; Magnoliopsida; Poales; Poaceae
Description: Small nucleolar RNA Z247
Rfam family: Small nucleolar RNA Z247
About the family: Z247 is a member of the C/D class of snoRNA which contain the C (UGAUGA) and D (CUGA) box motifs. Most of the members of the box C/D family function in directing site-specific 2'-O-methylation of substrate RNAs.
Source: Rfam by way of RNAcentral